Molecule: ribosomal RNA, 497 nt
Filed under: uncultured bacterium
Lineage: Bacteria
Description: partial 16S ribosomal RNA
Rfam family: Bacterial small subunit ribosomal RNA
Source: RNAcentral
GAUGAACGCUGGCGGCGUGCCUAAUACAUGCAAGUCGAGCGAACGGACGAGAAGCUUGCUUCUCUGAUGUUAGCGGCGGACGGGUGAGUAACACGUGGAUAACCUACCUAUAAGACUGGGAUAACUUCGGGAAACCGUAGCUAAUACCGGAUAAUAUUUUGAACCGCAUGGUUCAAAAGUGAAAGACGGUCUUGCUGUCACUUCUAGAUGGAUCCGCGCUGCAUUAGCUAGUUGGUAAGGUAACGGCUUACCAAGGCAACGAUGCAUAGCCGACCUGAGAGGGUGAUCGGCCACACUGGAACUGAGACACGGUCCAGACUCCUACGGGAGGCAGCAGUGGGGAAUCUUCCGCAAUGGGCGAAAGCCUGACGGAGCAACGCCGCGUGAGUGAUGAAGGUCUUCGGAUCGUAAAACUCUGUUAUUAGGGAAGAACAUAUGUGUAAGUAACUGUGCACAUCUUGACGGUACCUAAUCAGAAAGCCACGGCUAACUACGUG